AAGUCGGGGCAACUCGGCGAGUAAACCGGCGCACGGGUGAGUAACCCGUGGAUAACCUGCCUCGAAGUCCGGGAUAACCCGUCGAAAGACGGACUAAUACCAGAUAAGACCACGAAGAGUUCGCUCUUCGGGGCAAAAGGUGGCCUCUGCUCCUGCAAGCUAUCACUUCGAGAGGGGUCCGCGCCCUAUCAGCUAGUUGGUGAGGUAAUGGCUCACCAAGGCAGAGACGGGUAGCUGGUCUGAGAGGAUGGUCAGCCACACUGGGACUGAGACACGGCCCAGAGUCCUACGGGAUGCAGCAGUCAGGAAUAUUGCGCAAUGGAGGAAACUCUGACGCAGCGACGCCGCGUGGGUGAUGAAGGCCUUCGGG
Molecule: ribosomal RNA, 370 nt
Filed under: uncultured bacterium
Lineage: Bacteria
Description: bacterial SSU rRNA
Rfam family: Bacterial small subunit ribosomal RNA
Source: RNAcentral